RNAcentral lists this ribosomal RNA (365 nucleotides) under uncultured bacterium. Its description in RNAcentral is "partial 16S ribosomal RNA". It matches the Rfam family "Bacterial small subunit ribosomal RNA", at positions 338 to 700 of the family's 1533-position model. The record is from RNAcentral.
CCUACGGGAGGCAGCAGUGAGGAAUAUUGGUCAAUGGGCGCGAGCCUGAACCAGCCAAGGAGCGUGAAGGAUGACGGCCCUACGGGUUGCAAACUUCUGUUAUAAAGGAAUAAAGUGAGGCACGUGUGCCGUUUUGUAUGUACGGUAUGAAUAAGGAUCGGCUAACUCCGUGCCAGCAGCCGCGGUAAUACGGAGGAUCCGAGCGUUAUCCGGAUUUAUUGGGUUUAAAGGGAGCGUAGAUGGGUUGUUAAGUCAGUUGUGACAGUUUGCGGCUCCACCGUAAAAGUGCAAUUGAUACGGGCAUCCUUGAUUACAGUUGCGGUCGUCGCACUUCGUGGUGUCUCGGUGAUAUGCUUAGAUCUCCC